CUACGGGGCGCAGCAGUGAGGAAUAUUGCACAAUGGGGGGAACCCUGAUGCAGCAACGCCGCGUGGAGGAUGACGCAUUUCGGUGUGUAAACUCCUUUUAUAUGUCAAGAAAAUGACGGUAGCAUAUGAAUAAGCACCGGCUAACUCCGUGCCAGCAGGCCGCGGUAAUACGGAGGGUGCAAGCGUUACUCGGAAUCACUGGGCGUAAGGACGCGUAGGCGGGUUGGAAAGUCAGGUGUGAAAUCCUACAGCUUAACUGUAGAACUGCACUUGAAACUUCUAAUCUAGAGUAUGGGAGGGGGAGAUGGAAUUAGUGGUGUAGGGGUAAAAUCCGUAGAUAUCACUAGGAAUACCUAAAGCGAAGGCGAUCUCCUGGAACAUUACUGACGCUAAGGCGUGAAAGCGUGGGGAGCAAACAGGAUUAGAUACCCGUGUAGUC
Molecule: ribosomal RNA, 439 nt
Filed under: uncultured bacterium
Lineage: Bacteria
Description: partial 16S ribosomal RNA
Rfam family: Bacterial small subunit ribosomal RNA
Source: RNAcentral